GCCCCGAGAUGAGUUCUCCCUGAGACUUAGAGUCUCCUGAAGGAACGUUGAAGACGACGACGUUGAUAGGCCGGGUGUGUAAGCGCAGCGAUGCGUUGAGCUAACCGGUACUAAUGAACCGUGAGGCUUAACCUUAC
This 137-nucleotide ribosomal RNA is filed under the name Salmonella enterica subsp. enterica serovar Agona str. 400095 14. RNAcentral describes it as "partial 23S ribosomal RNA". It matches the Rfam family "Bacterial large subunit ribosomal RNA", at positions 2796 to 2925 of the family's 2925-position model. The record is from RNAcentral. Lineage: Bacteria; Pseudomonadati; Pseudomonadota; Gammaproteobacteria; Enterobacterales; Enterobacteriaceae.